Myodes glareolus (Bank vole) is the source of this 470-nucleotide long non-coding RNA. RefSeq lists it as uncharacterized. The record is from RefSeq and is a predicted model, not a curated record. NCBI's taxonomy places the organism in Eukaryota, Metazoa, Chordata, Mammalia, Rodentia, Cricetidae.
CAUCUGCGCAUUCCAUGCCAGGACUGAUGGGGAAGACCCAGCAGCUGUGGGUGGCACCAUUCCCUGGGCUGGGAUUACAUGCUUCCAGGAAUGAGCAGUAGAAAACCUAAGACAAGAGAGUUGAUGAUUCUCUCUUUACACCAUGUGGGUCCCAGGAGUUAAGCUUUGGGUCAUCAGGCACCCUAGCCCACUGAGCCACCUCAAGGACUCCAAAGCUGGGCCAUUCCUACAGGGAAUAAGCCAAGAAGAGCUGGAGAGAGCGGACAAUCUUGACCACUGGAUGGGCUUUAAUGGAUUCUUCCCCCAAGAAGAGCUGUUUGACAUUUGAGCACACGAAGAGCCGUAUCCCGUCUUCUUUUAAAACAGAGCUUGGGCAGUCUAUUUCUUAGAAGAUUGAUGAGUUUGUGCUGGCUGGAAAAGGAUGUGUCUCAAGAGGAUGCUGGGGAGAAUUAAAAGAGCAUUAAUCACAA